This 157-nucleotide ribosomal RNA is filed under the name Laburnicola centaureae. RNAcentral describes it as "5.8S ribosomal RNA". It matches the Rfam family "5.8S ribosomal RNA". Rfam says of the family: 5.8S ribosomal RNA (5.8S rRNA) is a component of the large subunit of the eukaryotic ribosome. It is transcribed by RNA polymerase I as part of the 45S precursor that also contains 18S and 28S rRNA. The record is from RNAcentral. Lineage: Eukaryota; Fungi; Ascomycota; Dothideomycetes; Pleosporales; Didymosphaeriaceae.
AACUUUCAACAAUGGAUCUCUUGGCUCUGGCAUCGAUGAAGAACGCAGCGAAAUGCGAUAAGUAGUGUGAAUUGCAGAAUUCAGUGAAUCAUCGAAUCUUUGAACGCACAUUGCGCCCCGUGGUAUUCCAUGGGGCAUGCCUGUUCGAGCGUCAUCU